RNAcentral lists this ribosomal RNA (882 nucleotides) under uncultured bacterium. Its description in RNAcentral is "bacterial SSU rRNA". It matches the Rfam family "Bacterial small subunit ribosomal RNA", at positions 22 to 902 of the family's 1533-position model. The record is from RNAcentral.
GCUCAGAUUGAACGCUGCGGGCAUGCCUUACACAUGCAAGUCGAACGGUAACGCGGGGCAACCUGGCGACGAGUGGCGAACGGGUGAGUAAUGCAUCGGAACGUGCCCAGUAGUGGGGGAUAGCCCGGCGAAAGCCGGAUUAAUACCGCAUACGACCUACGGGUGAAAGCGGGGGACCGUAAGGCCUCGCGCUAUUGGAGCGGCCGAUGUCAGAUUAGGUAGUUGGUGGGGUAAAGGCCUACCAAGCCUACGAUCUGUAGCUGGUCUGAGAGGACGACCAGCCACACUGGGACUGAGACACGGCCCAGACUCCUACGGGAGGCAGCAGUGGGGAAUUUUGGACAAUGGGCGCAAGCCUGAUCCAGCCAUGCCGCGUGCGGGAAGAAGGCCUUCGGGUUGUAAACCGCUUUUGUCAGGGAGGAAACGCUCUGGGCUAAUACCCCGGGGUAAUGACGGUACCUGAAGAAUAAGCACCGGCUAACUACGUGCCAGCAGCCGCGGUAAUACGUAGGGCGCAAGCGUUAAUCGGAAUUACUGGGCGUAAAGCGUGCGCAGGCGGUCUUGCAAGACAGAUGUGAAAUCCCCGGGCUUAACCUGGGAACUGCAUUUGUGACUGCAAGGCUAGAGUGCGGCAGAGGGGGAUGGAAUUCCGCGUGUAGCAGUGAAAUGCGUAGAUAUGCGGAGGAACACCGAUGGCGAAGGCAAUCCCCUGGGCCUGCACUGACGCUCAUGCACGAAAGCGUGGGGAGCAAACAGGAUUAGAUACCCUGGUAGUCCACGCCCUAAACGAUGUCAACUGGUUGUUGGGAAGGUUCCUUCUCAGUAACGUAGCUAACGCGUGAAGUUGACCGCCUGGGGAGUACGGCCGCAAGGUUGAAACUC